This 76-nucleotide transfer RNA is filed under the name Candidatus Saccharimonadota bacterium. RNAcentral describes it as "tRNA-Pro". It matches the Rfam family "tRNA". From Rfam's summary of the family: Transfer RNA (tRNA) molecules are approximately 80 nucleotides in length. Their secondary structure includes four short double-helical elements and three loops (D, anti-codon, and T loops). Further hydrogen bonds mediate the characteristic L-shaped molecular structure. tRNAs have two regions of fundamental functional importance: the anti-codon, which is responsible for specific mRNA codon recognition, and the 3' end, to which the tRNAs corresponding amino acid is attached (by aminoacyl-tRNA synthetases). tRNAs cope with the degeneracy of the genetic code in two manners: having more than one tRNA (with a specific anti-codon) for a particular amino acid; and 'wobble' base-pairing, i.e. permitting non-standard base-pairing at the 3rd anti-codon position. The record is from RNAcentral. Lineage: Bacteria; Candidatus Saccharimonadota.
CGGGGCGUAGCGCAGUUGGUAGCGCACGCGGUUUGGGACCGUGAGGUCGCAGGUUCGAGUCCUGUCGCCCCGACCA